Non-coding RNA from Arvicanthis niloticus (Nile rat), 864 nucleotides. The record is from RefSeq and is a predicted model, not a curated record. NCBI's taxonomy places the organism in Eukaryota, Metazoa, Chordata, Mammalia, Rodentia, Muridae.
GAGUCUCCCUUUCUCCAGCAUCCCAGCAGCUGUGCAGGGCUCUGAAGCUUUCCUCAGUUCUUACUUUUCUGUGAGGCAGCUGCUUUUGAGUCAUCCUGCUCUCUGAUGCUGCAACUGUUACAAGUGGCCGGCCCCUCAAUGGGAUUCCUGGAAGAUUACUCCAGGCAAAACUGCUGAUGGAGAAAGGAAGAAAGUCUCGAAAGGUGACAACCCCUUACCCCAAGACCCUCAUAAUACACCCACUCCUGCUGGAAGCAGACAGCAACCCCUAGCAAGUUACUUUACUUUCUUUUACCAUGAAGAUCUCACUCAAGACCAGCAAGAAAUCACAACUCUGAAGACUCUUACAACAAAGCCUCAUCCACACCUGUGUAGCCAAUUGUAGUCAUUUCCUCAUGGAGGAAAGAGGGAGGAGACUCAUACGAUUUAGGAAGUAACAGACUACCAGAGUCACAAGACCCUGCCCUCAAGGUUGUAAAAGCAGUAAACAAUUUCUGGGAAGAGGAGACCUUUCUGGCAGCCAAGUCAUCUGCAAGUUAUGGGAGAAGCCCCAUGAGGAGAAGCCAAGCUGAGAUUAGUUGCUGUGGUGGAUGCCAGCUGCCAUGCCAGAGUACAUGCAACACCCUGGCAGAGCUAAGGGGUGCUUCAGAGGAGCCACCUGGCAACAGCCUGCCUGGCAUGGAAGACACUUGAAAGCAGAUCACUACACACAGUCAAGCUGUGACAGCACUUCUAGUGAACCCCACCUGCUGUUACUGUUACCUCUUGUGACACAGUGCCUGAGACACCUUGCAGUGCUGCUCCUGGGUCACUUACCCACACAAAUCGCAAUAAAAUAAUAGCUGAUUGAGUUUGUGAAGCUUG